GUCUCAGUUCGGACUGAAGGCUGAAAUUCGCCUUCACGAAGUCGGAAUUGCUAGUAAUGGCAGGUCAGCAUACUGCCGUGAAUACGUUCCCGGGCCUUGUACACACCGCCCGUCACACCAUGAGAGUUAGGAAUACCCGAAGCCUGUGAGCUAACUUUUAGAGGCAGCAGUCGAAGGUAGAACUAAUGAUUGGGGUGAAGUCGUAACAAGGUAAC
This 215-nucleotide ribosomal RNA is filed under the name uncultured bacterium. RNAcentral's name for it is "partial 16S ribosomal RNA". It matches the Rfam family "Bacterial small subunit ribosomal RNA", at positions 1285 to 1500 of the family's 1533-position model. The record is from RNAcentral.